This 1306-nucleotide long non-coding RNA is filed under the name Vigna radiata. Its description in RNAcentral is "long non-coding RNA (VRAD_LNC003415)". Lineage: Eukaryota; Viridiplantae; Streptophyta; Magnoliopsida; Fabales; Fabaceae. The record is from RNAcentral.
GGUGGAAUCUUACUGGAGUGGGUUUCCGUUGUUAGUAAGUAAUCAAUGGAGGUGGAGCAAAAGCAACAAUUGGAGCAAAAACAAUAGGUCAAAUAUACAAAGGUUUUGUAGUGAUUAUAACAUCAGAUAUAGUGAAGGAGAAGGGGAAGGUCUAAAAAAAAAUAACUCAGUAAAGACAAUAUAUAGUUGAAGUUGAGGUAAAAAAUAAAAACUAUGAUAACACUUUUGGAGACAUGAAUAACCCCGCAAAAAAUACAUUUUAGAGAUUUGGUAGAAAGUUUAAAAUUGUCUAAUUUAAGAUCAUGGCCAAAACUUGUGAAGCUAAAUAUAAGGGGAGAAACAAGGUAAAUAGUCCAUCUGCAAUACCAGAUAGAGUAGGAACCUCAUUGCAAAAGCCAAAAAUGAAGAAAUGUUGUGACAAAAUGACAUGUGACAAAUGCAUAAUCCCAAAAGUGAAGAGGAACAUAAUGGUGACGUAAGGUACAAGAAUUUUUGACCAAGUAUCAGUUCAUUUUUUGGCAAUACCAUUUUGUUUUGUUGUAAAAUAUUGCUUCAAGUACAAUGAAAAAAAUGGGGCAGGUGUUGAAAAGAGUAACACCAAAAGAUAAAAUGUUUUUGAAGUCGAUGUAGAAAAACAAUUACAGUCCUUUCACAGAUUUGAAUAUGCCAAACAAUACAUUUGAUGGUAGAGUUUAUCAUUUCUAGGUUUGAGUUCAUGACCAAAACAUGUCAAACUAAAAGACAAGGAGAGAACUAUAAAAAUUCUAUUGGGAAUACAAGAUAGUUUACGAAACCUGAUAAGAUAUAAGGUGAUAUGAUAAAAUGGGUUUAGGAUAGAAGGAAGAGGAAAUGAGAGGGACGGUUAGGAGGGAAGAGUUGUUUGACAGUUAGAAUAGUUUUGUACAGAAGGGGAGGGAAUACUAUAAAUAGGGGUUAUACUUGCAUACGGAGUGUGAAAAUUAUAUAUGAGAGUAAUCUUCCUUGUGUUUACACAUAGGGCCUCUAUUUAUAUUAGAAGAAAUAUGAGCUAAGUCCAAAAUACAAAUAAGAAAUAUAAACAAACUAACUAAAGAUAAAAGAUAAAUAUAAACUAGGUUUAAACCAUUUAGUUGUCCCUAUUUUUGGGAGGUUUUCCCAUUUUGAUCCCCGUCUUAUUAGAAUCCCCAAUUGAGUCCCUAUAAGUGCUAAUUUCAAUCAAUUAAGCCCCAGCCGUUAAAUUUAGUUAACGGGGUUAACUUUUUUGCACAGCUGGAAGGAUGACCUGUUAAUUUCUGUAAACGUGGCCUAUUUAGAGUUGAAACGUGGC